RNAcentral lists this long non-coding RNA (1864 nucleotides) under Daphnia magna. Its description in RNAcentral is "uncharacterized LOC116927690, transcript variant X1". The record is from RNAcentral. Lineage: Eukaryota; Metazoa; Arthropoda; Branchiopoda; Diplostraca; Daphniidae.
CAUAUUCUUCGUUGUAUUGUCAUUGUAAAAUCACUUUAAAUAGCUACACCGUGCUUUUCUUACCUAUGUAAUUGUCAUUUGUGCUAAAAUUUUGGACUUAUCUACAGAUUCCUGAUUGUCCAAGGUUCUCAAGACAGUCUUACAUAAUCAACCAGUGUUGGACUUGGCCAUUUCGCCCUACAGACAUAUGUUUUGCUUCACGGACAUUUUUGGCUCGUCGUCCUGCAUGCUACCGGAGGUAAUUGGGUAGUCGUUGUUCGAGAUGAUUGGAUGAAAAGAACCGACAAAUCAGUAUUAUUGUUUAAAACAAAAACGGUGGGUAUGGGAAGGAUGAAAAAUGCACCCCCAUCGAAAGACCUGGAUGGAAUACUAAUGCACCAUUCUUUGGAGUUCUGGUAAAUUUUCCGAUGCCAAAAGAAUGGUUAUCUGGGUGGCUAAAAUUAUAUUAGUUACCAUUUUUUUUACAAUGAAAUAUAUUAAUUUUUGUCAUGUAUUUUUUUAGGCGCGCAUCGUCAAGAUGAUCGAAGGCGUAACCCUAAAAGACGCAUUAAAUCGUGCGUGAAAAAGCUCCUAGCAAGAGGUGUGAACUGAAUAAAAUUGGUGCGAAAACAAAAGGGAGUUAUGAAAUUCAGGCUAGAAGAGAGCAAAAUUCUGUAUGCUGUCUUUAUUUUAUCAUUUACAUGCUGUUAUGGUUACUAUUUUUUUCAGUUGGAAUUAAAUCUAGUUCUCUAUUUUCAAAAACUCCCGAAUCUGAAAUGGAGGUAGAAACAAAGUCGUAUUUUAAACAUGCUGUGGAGUGGGCCCGAGAACGCCUAAAAACCUUUGGAAUUUCAGAACCCUGUGGAAGCGGUCCGUCCGUUCAGAACUACUGUCACGACAAUGUUCAUUGCCAAAAAAAUUGUGAUAUGCUAUUGUUGGAUCAUAGUCGUGAAGCUCUACCACUGGAUAUUUCUUCCAAGAGUAACAAUGUCAAGGUAACGCAUAACUUCAGCAUGUAAAUUAAAAAACGUUUUUGUAGUUUAUGUCAGAUAAGCAAUCUGCUUAUUUGACCUACCAAAUUUUUCGUGAAAUCUAUGGCUAUUAGAAAAAGUAGCCUUAACAUUAAAGGGUUUUGGAGCGUUUAACGUAUUACAUACAGCGUUCCGUAAGCGUUUUGAGGGGGAAAAACUUUCGUUAAAAUGAGUCUUAUUUUUACAUAAACUAUCAUACGUUGCGUUUUCACUUCGUUUUAAUAUUACAUAACACUUCAACUUCUUAAAAUGUUUACGAAACGCUGUACGUAAUACGUAAGGCGCUCCAAAACCCUGUAGUGUGAACGUAGCUGAAGCCUCACAGGUAAAAAAGAGUCUAAGAAGUGAUUGUUUGAACUGCUAUCCAAGACGGCAAAAGGAGAAACUCUUUCAAACUUUCUAAAUUGUCAUUCGUGGUUUGCCAAAUCGUGCCGUGAUGCCAAUCCAUAACAAAAAAAAUGAGUUUUGUUCAUGUUUGGUGUUUUUUGUAACAGGGAAAAUCAUUUCCAUUUUGUCAAUUUUCAAUUUACGUGGGAUGAAUAUUGUAGCAAUUAGGACGUCGACAGAACGUAGGUAAGAUGCCUUCUCGUUGAUCACUCAUUGUCCCAUUUCUCUCCAAACUGGAAUGGUGUUUAAAUGUCCAGAGAAGGUUAUCACAAGAAAUGCAGUAGAGAUCUGACAGGGAUGUCCACUGGAUAUCGGCUACCGACUUCCUCUGGAUAUCCCUGGCACGAAAAUUUUCUACUAUGGCAAUUUCGUUUUAAAGUGGAUGGUUGUUUCGCCUGUUUUUGUUUGAAAUCUUUCAUGAGCAAUGGUUCCGAAAGCUGCCUAAAAUGCAUCACCAAAAACAUGUA